This is a long non-coding RNA of Drosophila miranda, 217 nucleotides long. RefSeq lists it as uncharacterized. Lineage: Eukaryota; Metazoa; Arthropoda; Insecta; Diptera; Drosophilidae. The transcript has 2 exons. The record is from RefSeq and is a predicted model, not a curated record.
UGUGCUGCAGCCGACAUAGCUCUAGUCCAGGAGCCCUGGAUUGCGACAGGCAACUCAGUGGUCGGACUAAAGUCCUCAAAUCACAACUUGUUCUACUCAACAUCACACGGAUGACCUGACGUUUGUGAUGCUGGGAAGUGAGGAAAAUUGCCUUCUGGUGGCUUCCUGCUAUAUGGCUCACGACAGACCCGCGCCACUCAGGAGUCUGGUGACAGAA